AUGUUCACUUCUUGAAUGUAAAAAAAAAAAGAGAAAGAAAAUCAACAAAAAGCCCAGUUCGAUCAGCUAAUAGUCACUGUGAUGUGCCCUGCACAGAGAAGUCUGUGGGCUUUUUUAUAUGCAGCCGAAUAUUGUUUGUGUAAGUCAUAAUAUUUACGCAGGAGACGCCCGGGGAAUGAAGUUGAAGCUCUGCCGCGCUGUGAGCCCAGAACCUCGGGUUCAGACCACGGAACGACUCCAGACAUGCUGGGACCGUCAUUUCACAAGUAAAAGCGCUCGGAUGCCAUUCCACAAUGGGUCUGUCCCACACAGCACAUGGGAGCCAGUCAACGGCGCCCCACCCUGCGGCUGUGCACAGCUCCCAUGCGGGGCCGGUCCGUCACGAUAUCCUGAUGCUGUCUGAGCCGUCAAUAAUAGGAGAUGAGACAUAAACCACAUUGGCGAGGGCAUGCGCAGAGGCUCGGUGGGCCGCCGUUGCAGGCUGGAGUGGGCAGGCAUGUGGCUUUGGCCACAGGAAGCUGUGAAUUCUUUGGAGAAUGGAAGAUGCCUUACAGGGAUACAUACUAGAGUCACGCAAGGAAGGAAAUCAGCCACGGUCUGCUACAAGUGGCGAGGUCCGAGAGAGAAUAGCAGCAAGCCCGUCAGAGGUGCACCACCAGAACCAGCUGGAUUUUUGAGGACUUAAUUUACCUGAGCGCUGACGUAAACUCAAACACAAGGAAACUGCCGGGCAAAACAUAACCCAAAUUGGGUGAAAUCACAAACCCAACGCUGGGUUGAAAAGAGACGGAGCCAAUGCUGGGUUAUUUAUACAAGUUGGCAAGUCGACCCAGCGCAACGUGGUCAAGAUUUUGAUCCAAUAAAAGGUGUGGACUCUACAUCGUGGGCGUUUGGGAAAAACAGACAGCUGGUCCGACAGACAACCACAUGGUUUCGUUUGACGUCUGCUAAUUCCAGGGAAUCAAUCCUAAAUGACACCUAUGGGAUACACAGGGUGGAUUUGCCUCUGAUGUCGAUUGUGGUGGUUUGCAGAUGAAAGACAGUCAAAUAAAUAAAGCCGCGGCAAGCCGGCAGAACUCUUCUGUCCACGCGGCCCAACCAUAAUGGGAUACAUGCCGACACCCUGAGCUGGAGUCCUGCUCACUUUGAGAAAUAUGUCUCUUGUGGAAGAAAGGAGCAAGUUACGUACCGUAAUGAGCGGACUAAUUAUCAGGAAGCGAUUCUGUUCCUCGUUACGCUCGGCCGAUGCUGUUUUAAUCCCCCAAACACUUUCCUGAAUUAAACUCAGCUGUAUCAAAUAGCCAUUUAAACUCCUCCAAUCAAUCUUUUCAUCAGCUUUUGUGUCUGCGUAUUGCCUACAGUUAGAAUAGUAAUGGUAAGACGAUCCCGGCUUGUUUCAUCCUGGCUGAGAUCACGCAUGUCUCUCCUAAAGUCAGCUGGCAUUCCCCACAGAUUGUGACGCAUAACAAUGCAGUAGAGAUGGUGAAAAGCAUAUUGUGUCAUCAAACCCAACAAUUAGAUUGUGUGUCGUCCUCGUGAAGAAAAUUAAUGACUAUUUGUAAGUGCACACGAUGCAUGUAACAUCGGGGCAUUAUCAACGUUGGUGCCACAGAGGUGAUUUAUUUCGAUUGUGGUUGACUCCCGUCUGAUGCUCUUCAACAAAUCACAGCCUGAGGUCUGGCUAGACCAACAACACACUUUGUCUGCGUCUCCCCCACAUGACCCCCACGUAUGUAGAUGUUGAGUGGAGCCAGUGAAGGACAUCACUCAGGCGUUGUGUAUACAUGCAAAUAGCUCUACCUGGACGAUGCAUAUUUGUAUGUACAUUUGUACAUUUUUUACCUACAGUUGUGUGUUUUUGCGAUAAUUUAGUCGACCGUGGCCACCAGCAGUGCCGCCUGACCCAGGGGCUCCGGGUGAUAAGACCUCCAUAACUCUACUUUAUCCCCCCUGCUCAUUAUCUAGCUCCAUCCCAGAUCUGCUUUGAGCCUUCAGGCCGUUUUGCAAGGCCAUCUUCCCCUCUUAGAUCCGCAGCGCUCUUUGGCCUGGAGAUUAGUUUGGAGACACACGGGCUCAGUUGAACUAACCCCAGACACUUGACAUCUUCUGUCUGUGGGAGAAAGGGUUAAAUAUUUAAUUGGAGCUCACACUGACCAAGACGCGAUGAAUUCAAAGAUGUAAUAGGACGACAAGUGACUUAAUUUAAAAGUAAGAUAAAUAAUUGGCACUUUUUGGGUACAAUAUUCUUACGUCCUUAUCUCACCGUCAACUGAGUUUAUGUUAGCAUGAAGCAAGAUUUCAGUUCAGGGGUCAAACUAUCACCUUGACAGACCACAUCAUUCUUUUAGUCUAAACGUCGUGUGAGGCCAAGUGGAGGCUGCAAGACUUUAGUUUUAGACAAGUAUCGGUUAUUUAGAAAAGCGUAAUUUAUUUAUGUAUUUAUGUUUAUUGUCUUUGUAUCAUUUAAUGUGAUUCAUGGUCAACUUCAUUAUGUAGCGCACUUUGUUGCAGCUGUGGUUGUUGUAUACAUUUUCUAUGAAUAAAGUUGUGUUGAGUUCAA
Molecule: long non-coding RNA, 2560 nt
Organism: Syngnathus typhle (broad-nosed pipefish)
Lineage: Eukaryota; Metazoa; Chordata; Actinopteri; Syngnathiformes; Syngnathidae
Exons: 6
Source: RefSeq, a predicted model, not a curated record